Molecule: long non-coding RNA, 2290 nt
Organism: Oncorhynchus keta (chum salmon)
Lineage: Eukaryota; Metazoa; Chordata; Actinopteri; Salmoniformes; Salmonidae
Exons: 3
Source: RefSeq, a predicted model, not a curated record
AAAACAUAUUUAACCUUUAUUUAAUUAGGUUAAGAACAAAUUCUUAUUUACAAUGACGGCCUACCAAAAGGCAAAAAGGCCUCCUGCAGGGACGUUGGCUGGGAUUAAAAAUAUAAACAGAUUAAAUCCAAAUAUAUGACUAUCUGGUAUGUACUGAUAGGGGGCCAACUGGAGUUAGUUAUAUCUUUCACAUUGAGGCCCUCAAGGUCGGCAUUUUCUAUUCAGUCCUCCCCAUUCUAGCCACUCAGCAUUGUGGGGGUUAUUUGAUCUGCCGGGGGACAGACACAGAUACGACCUGGCUGGGAGGCCACAUCACUGAUUCGUGGGGCGUUGUCUUGGCACAAACACAGUCCAACAGUUAUCUGUCCACAUUCUAUUUUUCUUGUCAUGAAUUGCCUGACUAAUGAAUCAGACUGCUGUCUGAGUUUGUUUCCAAUUCAUCCACUUUUUUUAUGUAACUAACUCGACAGUGGCGAUUGAUUUGUGUAGUUGGUCGCGACCAGAAAAGGCAGUGAAAAUGACACACUUCUCCUCUCACAUUUCAAUUACGACCAAAAGGUUUUGUUUGAAAAUGCAGCCUGACAACUCCGUAGCUGAAUUAUCUGUAGAAUUUCACCCGGCAAUUAACAUGUUGACACAUCCUGAAAGGGAGAGAGACUCUGGACUCUGGAGCAGACACACCUGAGAGGCAUUAUUCAAUGCCUAGUGGUUAUUUACAUAAACAUGUCACAGGAGAGUUGGUUGUGAUUGAUAAUGGAGAAGUGCCAGAGGAAAAGGCACAAAGCAUCUGGUAUUUGGUUGAGUGGUGAGGUCACUGGGGCCAUUUAGAGUCUAAAAUGGGAGUCCGGUUUGGGUGAACUCGACUGACCUUGCCUUAGUCCAGAGAACUGGUUUCUGUCUGUAAUGCCAAGGACCUGAAGUUAACUGUGUGCCGGAUGGUCUUACAUUGCAUUCUGUCAAACCGCCUUGUCAUUGUCACAACCUGGACUGGGGCAGCGCAUGAGGCCUGUUUCAGGGACUUGUUUCUGAAGACCAUUCUUCACAAACCUGCAACCCAGGAUGCCAUGGAUAAGGGGGUCCAGAUUCAGGUCACCCUUUAGCUGAAAGGGGCCUCCGAUUGUGAAGGCGGCGGACAGGUGAGAGGGAUCGGCUGCAGUGAGGGUCAGCAUCAAGUCUCGGACCACCUAUCUCAAAACCAGCCUCUACCCCCAAGCCACAAGACUGAUCCAACAGCUGAACCCCGGGCUGACUCCUGCACCCUACCACACACUUACCAUUUAUUCAUAUUCUGUACACACUUAAAUGACUUUAGUCUACCGGACCAAUGAAAUAGUUAUGUCACCUAACUGCACUAUGUAGAUAUACUUUCAUUAUAGUUCUAUGCUGCUACUGCACUGUAGUUAUUCCACUCUAAGCACAUGGGUAAAAAAAAUGUCCAUACUAUAUGAAUGUAGGCUCAUUUGGUUUUUAUCUUAAGGCUAUUUUGGUUUUUAUCUUAAGGCUAUUUUGGUUUGAUCUUAUUCUUAUUUACAUCUUAUUUUCUUUGAUCUGCAUGCUUCUUUUUGCACUUGUUUUUAUUGUUUCAUUGUCAGUACGUCGUAUAGUCAAGGAACUAUGACACAUUGAUUGCAGUCGGCUUUGUUCCCACUGUGUGAGAAGCCUUUCUAUAUUAUUAUUCGUUCAAAUGGACAUGGCAUCCAAUCUAUCUUAAAUCAUAAACGUAAAUUAAUAAAUAAGUGGAGAAAGGGAGGAGGCACGCCGCUGGCUUGAUGCUGAAAAAGUGCCGUGCCUCCGGCUGUCAGCUGUAGUGUCGCCGGUCGGGAGAAGGGCGGGUGAAGGGCGGGUGAAGGGCGGGUGAAGGGCGGGUGGGCUGUGUGAGGAAAACGACACUUGAACAGCAGAAGCACGGCUGCCGCUUGACAAAGUGGCAUAUCGCGGGCGCCCCAUGAGGCGAUGGGUACUCUGGAGGGACGCCGGCCUCCCGAUUGCUCAUUGCUAACUGGGUUGCAAAGUGCAAAUAAAUGUUAAUUCAGGUUAAGGGGAGUUCCCGCUUGAAUUUGAUUAAAAGGGCAGUGAAUUCGCUUAUACUUUGAGAACUUGUUAGCAAGCUCCUGACACACAUCAUUUUUUUCUCUGAGAUUAUUAUUAACUGAAGACACGUGGAACCACUUUAAGUCUCAUUUUGUCAAUAGUCAUUUGCUCUGUGUUAUUAUGUAAUGUAUCAUAUAUUUCAUGUACACUGUAAUAGUUUAGUGUCAAUUAUUUCAUGACUAAUAAAUCCUAUUAGUGA